AUACGGAGGAUCCGAGCGUUAUCCGGAUUUAUUGGGUUUAAAGGGUGUGCAGGCGGGAGAUUAAGUCGGUGGUGAAAUUUUGCAGCUUAACUGUAACAGUGCCAUUGAUACUGGUUUUCUUGAGUGUGGAUGAAGUAGGCGGAAUUUGUGGUGUAGCGGUGAAAUGCAUAGAUAUCACGAGGAACUCCGAUCGCGUAGGCAGCUUACUAAACCAUAACUGACGCUCAUGCACGAAGGCGUGGGGAUCAAACAGGAUUAGAUACCCUGGUAGUCCACGCUGUAAACGAUGAUUACUGGCUGUUUGCGAUACACAGUAAGCGGCCCAGCGAAAGCGUUAAGUAAUCCACCUGGGGAGUACGUUCGCAAGAAUGAA
RNAcentral lists this ribosomal RNA (373 nucleotides) under uncultured bacterium. RNAcentral describes it as "bacterial SSU rRNA". It matches the Rfam family "Bacterial small subunit ribosomal RNA", at positions 523 to 898 of the family's 1533-position model. The record is from RNAcentral.